RNAcentral lists this ribosomal RNA (552 nucleotides) under uncultured Verrucomicrobium sp. Its description in RNAcentral is "bacterial SSU rRNA". It matches the Rfam family "Bacterial small subunit ribosomal RNA", at positions 504 to 1053 of the family's 1533-position model. Lineage: Bacteria; Pseudomonadati; Verrucomicrobiota; Verrucomicrobiia; Verrucomicrobiales; Verrucomicrobiaceae. The record is from RNAcentral.
UGUGCCAGCAGCCGCGGUAAUACAGAGGUCUCAAGCGUUGUUCGGAAUUACUGGGCGUAAAGGGUGCGCAGGCUGCGCGGGAAGUCAAAUGUGAAAUUCAGGGGCUCAACCCCUGCAUUGCGCUUGAUACUUCCGCGCUCGAGCUUUGGAAAGGAGUCUGGAAUUCUCGGUGUAGCAGUGAAAUGCGUAGAUAUCGAGAGGAACACUAAGGGCGAAGGCAAGACUCUGGACAAAUGCUGACGCUCAUGCACGAAGGCUAGGGUAGCGAACGGGAUUAGAUACCCCGGUAGUCCUAGCUGUAAACGGUGCACGUUUGGUGUGGGAGGCAACCCCUUCCGUGCCGGAGCUAACGCGAUAAACGUGCCGCCUGGGUAGUACGGUCGCAAGACUAAAACUCAAAGAAAUUGACGGGGACCCGCACAAGCGGUGGAGUAUGUGGCUUAAUUCGAUGCAACGCGAAGAACCUUACCUGGGCUUGACAUGAAUUGUAACCCCGGUGAAAGCCGGGCAUGCGUGGAAACACGCGCUUUUCACAGGUGCUGCAUGGCUGUC